ACCUGGCUGGCUCAGUUGGUAGAGCAUGUGACUUUUGAUCUUGGGGUUGUGAGUUCAAGCCCCAUGUUGGGUG
Non-coding RNA from Neogale vison (American mink), 73 nucleotides. NCBI's taxonomy places the organism in Eukaryota, Metazoa, Chordata, Mammalia, Carnivora, Mustelidae. The record is from the annotation of a RefSeq genome assembly.